AUACGUAGGGGGCGAGCGUUGUCCGGAAUGAUUGGGCGUAAAGGGCGCGUAGGCGGCCCGGUAAGUCUGGAGUGAAAGUCCUGUUUUUAAGAUGGGAAUUGCUUUGGAUACUGUCGGGCUUGAGUGCAGGAGAGGUAAGUGGAAUUCCCAGUGUAGCGGUGAAAUGCGUAGAGAUUGGGAGGAACACCAGUGGCGAAGGCGACUUACUGGACUGUAACUGACGCUGAGGCGCGAAAGUGUGGGGAGCAAACAGGAUUAGAUACCCUGGUAGUCCACACUGUAAACGAUGAAUACUAGGUGUGCGGGGACCGACCCCCUGCGUGCCGGCGUUAACACAAUAAGUAUUCCACCUGGGGAGUACGAUCGCAAGGUUGAAACUCAAAUGAAUUGACGGGG
Molecule: ribosomal RNA, 396 nt
Filed under: uncultured bacterium
Lineage: Bacteria
Description: partial 16S ribosomal RNA
Rfam family: Bacterial small subunit ribosomal RNA
Source: RNAcentral